RNAcentral lists this ribosomal RNA (779 nucleotides) under Salmonella enterica subsp. enterica serovar Kentucky. RNAcentral describes it as "partial 23S ribosomal RNA". It matches the Rfam family "Bacterial large subunit ribosomal RNA", at positions 566 to 1315 of the family's 2925-position model. The record is from RNAcentral. Lineage: Bacteria; Pseudomonadati; Pseudomonadota; Gammaproteobacteria; Enterobacterales; Enterobacteriaceae.
GAGCGUCGUUUGCGACGCCCAACACACAAAACAAGCGGUGAGUGCUUUGGGGUGGGGUGACUGCGUACCUUUUGUAUAAUGGGUCAGCGACUUAUAUUCUGUAGCAAGGUUAACCGUAUAGGGGAGCCGAAGGGAAACCGAGUCUUAACUGGGCGUUAAGUUGCAGGGUAUAGACCCGAAACCCGGUGAUCUAGCCAUGGGCAGGUUGAAGGUUGGGUAACACUAACUGGAGGACCGAACCGACUAAUGUUGAAAAAUUAGCGGAUGACUUGUGGCUGGGGGUGAAAGGCCAAUCAAACCGGGAGAUAGCUGGUUCUCCCCGAAAGCUAUUUAGGUAGCGCCUCGUGAACUCAUCUUCGGGGGUAGAGCACUGUUUCGGCUAGGGGGUCAUCCCGACUUACCAACCCGAUGCAAACUGCGAAUACCGAAGAAUGUUAUCACGGGAGACACACGGCGGGUGCUAACGUCCGUCGUGAAGAGGGAAACAACCCAGACCGCCAGCUAAGGUCCCAAAGUCACAGUUAAGUGGGAAACGAUGUGGGAAGGCUCAGACAGCCAGGAUGUUGGCUUAGAAGCAGCCAUCAUUUAAAGAAAGCGUAAUAGCUCACUGGUCGAGUCGGCCUGCGCGGAAGAUGUAACGGGGCUAAACUGUGCACCGAAGCUGCGGCAGCGACGCUUAUGCGUUGUUGGGUAGGGGAGCGUUCUGUAAGCCUGCGAAGGUGUCCUGUGAGGGAUGCUGGAGGUAUCAGAAGUGCGAAUGCUGACAUAAGUAACGAUAA